Molecule: ribosomal RNA, 465 nt
Filed under: uncultured bacterium
Lineage: Bacteria
Description: bacterial SSU rRNA
Rfam family: Bacterial small subunit ribosomal RNA
Source: RNAcentral
CCUACGGGUCGCACCAGUGGGGAAUAUUGCACAAUGGGCGCAAGCCUGAUGCAGCCAUGCCGCGUGUAUGAAGAAGGCCUUCGGGUUGUAAAGUACUUUCAGCGAGGAGGAAGGCAUUAAGGUUAAUAACCUUGGUGAUUGACGUUACUCGCAGAAGAAGCACCGGCUAGCUCCGUGCCAGCAGCCGCGGUAAUACGGAGGGAGCAAGCGUUAAUCGGAAUUACUGGGCGUAAAGCGCACGCAGGCGGUCUGUCAAGUCGGAUGUGAAAUCCCCGGGCUCAACCUGGGAACUGCACUCGAAACUGGCAGGCUAGAGUCUUGUAGAGGGGGGUAGAAUUCCAGGUGUAGCGGUGAAAUGCGUAGAGAUCUGGAGGAAUACCGGUGGCGAAGGCGGACCCCUGGACAAAGACUGACGCUCAGGUGCGAAAGCGUGGGGCGCAAACAGGAUUAGAUACCCGAGUAGUC